UUCGAUCCUGGCUCAGAUUGAACGCUGACGGAUAACUUUGCAUGCAGGUCGAACGGCAGCACGGACUUCGGUCUGGUGGCGAGUGGCGAACAGGUGAGUAAUGUAUCGGAACGUGCCUAGUGGCAGGGGAUAACUACAUGAAAGCGUAGCUAAUACCAUACGCCCCCUUCGGGGGAAAGCGGGGGACCCCUUCCGGGCCUCGCACUGUUAGAGCGGCCGAUAUCGGAUUGGCUAGUUGGUGGGGUAACUUGGCUCGCAAGGCGACGAUCCGUAGCUGGUUUGAGAGGACGACCAGCCACACUGGGACUGAGACACGGCCCAGACUCCUGCAGGGAGGCAGCAGUGGGGUACCGGACAGUAAACCUGAUCCAGCCAUCCCGCGUGUGCGAUGACCUUCGGGUUGUAAAGCACUUUUGGCAGGAAAGAAACGGCGCAGGACCAUGCCCCGUGCAACUGGUAGUACCUGCAGAAUAAGCACCGGCUAACUACGUGCCAGCAGCCGCGGUAAUACGUAGGGUGCAAGCGUUAAUCGGAAUUACUGGGCGUAAAGCGUGCGCAGGCGGUUCCGGAAAGAAGAUGUGAAAUCCAGAGCUUAACUUUGGAACUGCAUUUUUAACUACCGAGCUGAGUGUGUCAGAGGGAGGUGGAAUUCCGCGUGUAGCAGUGAAAUGCGUAGAUAUGCGGAGAGGAACACACCGAUGGCGAAGGCAGCCUCCUGGGAGGAUAACACUGACGCUCGUAGAAAUACGUGGGGGAGCAAACAGGAUUAGAUACCCUGGUAGUCCACGCCUAAACGAUGUCAACUAGCUGUUGGGGCCUUCCCGGAGCCUUGGUAGCGCAAUAACGCGUGAAGUUGACCGCCUGAGAUACAGUCGCAAGAUUAAGCUCAAAGGAAUUGACGGGGACCCGCACAAGUGGUGGAUGAUGUGGAUUAAUUCGAUGCAACGCGAAAAACCCUUACCUACCCUUGACAUGUCUGGAAUCCGAAGAGAUUUGGGAGUGCUCGCAAGAGAACCGGAACACAGGUGCUGCAUGGCUGUCGUCAGCUCGUGUCGUGAGAUGUUGGGUUAAGUCCCACGCAACGAAGCGCAACCCUUGUCAUUAGUUGCUACGAGAAAGGGCACUCUAAUGAGACUGCCGGUGACAAACCGGAGGAAGGUGGGGAUGACGUCAAAGGUCUCGCGGCCCUUAUGGGUGGGGCUUCACACGUCAUCACAAUGGUCGGGACAGAGGGUCGCCAACCCGCGAGGGGGAACCAAUCAGAAACCCGAUCGUAGUCCGGAUCACCAGUCUACCGCUCGACUGCGUGAAGUCGGAAUCGCUAGUAAUCGCGGAUCAGCAUGUCGCGGUGAAUACGUUCCCCGGCGGUCAGCGGGCACCGCCCGUCACACCAUGGGAGUGGGUUUUACCAGAAGUAGUUAGCCUAACCGUAAGGAGGGCAGUUACGGUAGGAUUCAUGACUGGGGUGAAGUCGUAACAAGGUAG
This 1485-nucleotide ribosomal RNA is filed under the name uncultured Bordetella sp. Its description in RNAcentral is "partial 16S-23S ribosomal RNA intergenic spacer". It matches the Rfam family "Bacterial small subunit ribosomal RNA". The record is from RNAcentral. Lineage: Bacteria; Pseudomonadati; Pseudomonadota; Betaproteobacteria; Burkholderiales; Alcaligenaceae.